AAGCCGAUUAUGUUCGCGUUAAUUAAGUGGUUGGAAGAUGUAAAAUUCUCAAUUCUGCCAACUGAACAUAUACGAGAUUUUAAUGAGGAUGAAUAAUUAGCCGGCAUGGAGGAAACGGACCUUUAUUUCGUGGAGUGGCGACAAGAAGCCAAGGCGGGUGGCCAGUCUAAGAAGCCUCCAUCAUCAAGCUAGCAGAAAUCCUACCUCUCCUUCUGGCUACAGAGUACUUACCAAGCCCAUGAAAUCGAAUGCAGAUCUUCCUAAUGUGAGAUUUACAUAAAUAUGUCAAAGUCUCAACCUCAUGCUGCCCUCCCCCAUCCUCCUAAACCUGUGGAUACAAAUGCAGAUUUCCUUAAUGUUCAAUGGUGCGUGUUCUUCUAAUGGCCGCCUUCCCACUGGAGGUUUUGAUCCACAGCAAUUUAAAAGGAGGACAGAGCAAAACGGACAUCGGCGCAGAGUGAAGAACUGCCCUUGAUAAGGACACUAUGACAGCCAUAUAUAGUAAGUGAAGACUUUCUGUGUAUCUA
This is a non-coding RNA of Maylandia zebra (zebra mbuna), 527 nucleotides long. The record is from RefSeq and is a predicted model, not a curated record. NCBI's taxonomy places the organism in Eukaryota, Metazoa, Chordata, Actinopteri, Cichliformes, Cichlidae.